Molecule: ribosomal RNA, 442 nt
Filed under: uncultured bacterium
Lineage: Bacteria
Description: bacterial SSU rRNA
Rfam family: Bacterial small subunit ribosomal RNA
Source: RNAcentral
AACGCGAAGAACCUUACCUACCCUUGACAUCCAUUGAAAUCUGCAGAGAUGCGGAAGUGCCGAAAGGAACAAUGAGACAGGUGCUGCAUGGCUGUCGUCAGCUCGUGUUGUGAGAUGUUGGGUUAAGUCCCGUAACGAGCGCAACCCUUAUCCUUAGUUGCCAACAUGUAAUGGUGGGGACUCUAAGGAGACUGCUGGUGAUGAACCGGAGGAAGGCGGGGACGACGUCAAGUCAUCAUGGCCUUUAUGGGUAGGGCUACACACGUGCUACAAUGGACGGUACAGAGGGCGGCGAACCCGCGAGGGGGAGCUAAUCCCAGAAAGCCGUUCGUAGUCCGGAUCGGAGUCUGCAACUCGACUCCGUGAAGUCGGAAUCGCUAGUAAUCGCGAAUCAGAAUGUCGCGGUGAAUACGUUCCCGGGCCUUGUACACACCGUAGAGAC